Molecule: ribosomal RNA, 478 nt
Filed under: uncultured Bacteroidota bacterium
Lineage: Bacteria; Pseudomonadati; Bacteroidota
Description: bacterial SSU rRNA
Rfam family: Bacterial small subunit ribosomal RNA
Source: RNAcentral
UAAGGAAUAUUGGUCAAUGAGCGCAAGCUUGAACCAGCCAUGCCGCGUGCAGGACGACUGCCCUAUGGGUUGUAAACUGCUUUUAUACGGGAAUAAACCCCACUACGUGUAGUGGGCUGAAUGUACUGUAAGAAUAAGGAUCGGCUAACUCCGUGCCAGCAGCCGCGGUAAUACGGAGGAUCCAAGCGUUAUCCGGAUUUAUUGGGUUUAAAGGGUGCGUAGGCGGCCUAUCAGGUCAGAGGUGAAAGACGGUAGCUUAACUAUCGCAGUGCCUUUGAAACUGGUGGGCUUGAAUGUACUUGAGGUGGGCGGAAUGUGACAAGUAGCGGUGAAAUGCAUAGAUAUGUCACAGAACCCCGAUUGCGAAGGCAGCUCACUAAAGUAUGAUUGACGCUGAUGCACGAAAGCGUGGGGAUCAAACAGGAUUAGAUACCCUGGUAGUCCACGCCCUAAACGAUGAAUACUCGAUGUUGGCGAU